This is a long non-coding RNA of Ornithorhynchus anatinus (platypus), 776 nucleotides long. RefSeq lists it as uncharacterized. The transcript has 3 exons. Lineage: Eukaryota; Metazoa; Chordata; Mammalia; Monotremata; Ornithorhynchidae. The record is from RefSeq and is a predicted model, not a curated record.
CCAUCCCUUCGGCCCGAGGGGCUUUUCCCUUCUCAGGAACCCGUUCCGUCUCGUUUAGGGGGCGUCUCCCCGCAGCGAUUUAGCGCCAACAAUAGGAUCCGGGUGAUGCUCCCUCGUCGGGCUCGGCGUGAGGUUCCGGCGCCACUCUCCCAACCGCGUAGCACAGGGCUUGGCACCCAGGAAGCGCUCGAUUGAUACGGUUGGAUGAAUGAACGCUCUGUGGCCCGCUAAGGAUGGUGAAGAAGAUGUGCCCCCGUGACGGGAUGGAGGAGACCCAAUAUUCAGGAACAAAUGGCCGUUCCACCCAACUGGCCACCGCACAAAGAAACUGGUCACAAAUGCAAAGGGGAUUGUCAUCCUGAACCACCAGAGUGUUAUGAUUUAACAGAUUUAGAGAGAAAUCUAGGCUGAGUACAGUUUUGAAAAUGGAAACCAAAAUUGAAGAAAAAUAGCAAAGAGGAAACUAGACUUCCCUCGGAGAAGACAACUUGCAAGUAACUGAGUUGUCGUAUUGUUUUCCAGCCUUUAUUUACUUUUAAAAAUUUGAACCCAUUUCCAAAUCUGUCAUUUCAUAUCCUGCAUCGGUAUCCUAACUUGUUAAAGUCUUUUUUCCAACCAUCAGAAACAUCCUUGGAGUUUGAUAAAAAAAAAUAUUGAUGCCAGCAUUUUGUGGAGAGUAAAUCAUUAGAACUAGGGGCAUGUAAAACUUUUUAUGUUUCAAAAACUACUUUGUACUAAAAAUUACAACAUUUUGAGUUUUCUUCAUGGCCAGAAAA